This 497-nucleotide ribosomal RNA is filed under the name uncultured bacterium. RNAcentral's name for it is "partial 16S ribosomal RNA". It matches the Rfam family "Bacterial small subunit ribosomal RNA", at positions 28 to 507 of the family's 1533-position model. The record is from RNAcentral.
GAUGAACGCUGGCGACGUGCCUAAUACAUGCAAGUCGAGCGAACGGACGAGAAGCUUGCUUCUCUGAUGUUAGCGGCGGACGGGUGAGUAACACGUGGAUAACCUACCUAUAAGACUGGGAUAACUUCGGGAAACCGUAGCUAAUACCGGAUAAUAUUUUGAACCGCAUGGUUCAAAAGUGAAAGACGGUCUUGCUGUCACUUAUAGAUGGAUCCGCGCUGCAUUAGCUAGUUGGUAAGGUAACGGCUUACCAAGGCAACGAUGCAUAGCCGACCCGAGAGGGUGAUCGGCCACACUGGAACUGAGACACGGUCCAGACUCCUACGGGAGGCAGCAGUAGGGAAUCUUCCGCAAUGGGCGAAAGCCUGACGGAGCAACGCCGCGUGAGUGAUGAAGGUCUUCGGAUCGUAAAACUCUGUUAUUAGGGAAGAACAUAUGUGUAAGUAACUGUGCACAUCUUGACGGUACCUAAUCAGAAAGCCACGGCUAACUACGUG